RNAcentral lists this long non-coding RNA (242 nucleotides) under Lathyrus oleraceus (garden pea). RNAcentral describes it as "Pisum sativum (pea) long non-coding RNA (PSAT_LNC022377)". Lineage: Eukaryota; Viridiplantae; Streptophyta; Magnoliopsida; Fabales; Fabaceae. The record is from RNAcentral.
AACUUUUGAUUUUAUUUUUGAAAGGUUAAUUUUAAUAGAUUUUAAUUUUAUUAACAUUUAACAAAUAAACAAUUAACCAAAGAAAAUAAAAUAAAACAAUAUUAAAUAUAUAAUAAAAAAGGAGAGGUGCACUAUCAAUACAAUGGUAUAAAAAUAAGAAGUAAGUAAUGGGCUUUGAGUCUAGAUAAUAAAAGCAUCUAAAAAGAGAAAAAAAAACAAAGGGGUGUAGGUUAGAAAGGGAG